Molecule: transfer RNA, 108 nt
Filed under: Candidatus Bathyarchaeota archaeon
Lineage: Archaea; Thermoproteati; Candidatus Bathyarchaeota
Description: tRNA-Arg
Rfam family: tRNA
About the family: Transfer RNA (tRNA) molecules are approximately 80 nucleotides in length.
Source: RNAcentral
GGGCUCGUGGUCUAGAUCGGCAUUCAUCCUGGCUCCUGCGCUUCUAGUCUGGAUUAGGACGCUGGCCUGCGGAGCCGGAGAUCUGGGGUUCAAAUCCCCACGGGCCCG